This is a long non-coding RNA of Clarias gariepinus (North African catfish), 397 nucleotides long. RefSeq lists it as uncharacterized. The transcript is spliced from 3 exons. The record is from RefSeq and is a predicted model, not a curated record. NCBI's taxonomy places the organism in Eukaryota, Metazoa, Chordata, Actinopteri, Siluriformes, Clariidae.
UACUAUUUGUGCUAUGACCCUUAUACACGCUCUUGUGGUGAAAAAGAGACCAGACCACAUCCAUCGCUCAAGCUCUACAAUGCCUCACUUCAUCCUUAUGUUAAUGAUUGUCAUGGCUGGGUUAUCUCAAGCUCAAGAUCAAGCAAUCUAUCCAGCAAAGAUUUUUUCCAACAUAAACAAACACAAACUGGAGUUUACAUGCAGCACAUAUGGGCUGAAGGAAAAAGAGAAGGACAGCAAUGUUUAUAUUUACCUCUGUAGAAAUGGAAUUGCCAUAGAUAUGAGAUCAAGCUGUAGAGAUGCUACAUUUUAUAUAGACAACCCUACAAAUGACAAUACAGGAAAUUACAGUUGUCUCUUUUCAGUGUAUAAUUAUAACUACACGGUUGUGAAAGGA